Molecule: ribosomal RNA, 253 nt
Filed under: uncultured bacterium
Lineage: Bacteria
Description: partial 16S ribosomal RNA
Rfam family: Bacterial small subunit ribosomal RNA
Source: RNAcentral
UACGGAGGAUGCAAGCGUUAUCCGGAUUUACUGGGUGUAAAGGGAGCGUAGACGGCGAUGCAAGCCAGAUGUGAAAGCCCGGGGCUCAACCCCGGGACUGCAUUUGGAACUGUGUGGCUGGAGUGUCGGAGAGGCAAGUGGAAUUCCUAGUGUAGCGGUGAAAUGCGUAGAUAUUAGGAGGAACACCAGUGGCGAAGGCGGCUUGCUGGACGAUGACUGACGUUGAGGCUCGAAAGCGUGGGGAGCAAACAGG